CAAAAGGAUAUAUGUGAAGUUCAUUGAAAAUGCAAACAAAAAGGAAUAUGUCAGAGUGUGUUCCAAAAAGCCAAGAAAUAAGCCUUCACAAACUGUCAGAAAUAUUCCAUCUAAACCAAGUAGUAUCAGUAAAACUUCUGACCCACCAGUAUCAAAAACUACAACUAUAAAAGCCCCUUCUACAAAACCCAAAGCGAAACAGCUCAAAGUAAAGGCUGAGCCACCACCAAAGAAAAGGAAGAAA
RNAcentral lists this long non-coding RNA (244 nucleotides) under Rattus norvegicus (Norway rat). RNAcentral describes it as "long non-coding RNA NONRATT019535". The record is from RNAcentral. Lineage: Eukaryota; Metazoa; Chordata; Mammalia; Rodentia; Muridae.